This 91-nucleotide transfer RNA is filed under the name Burkholderia sp. JSH-S8. RNAcentral's name for it is "tRNA-Leu". It matches the Rfam family "tRNA". Rfam says of the family: Transfer RNA (tRNA) molecules are approximately 80 nucleotides in length. Lineage: Bacteria; Pseudomonadati; Pseudomonadota; Betaproteobacteria; Burkholderiales; Burkholderiaceae. The record is from RNAcentral.
GCCCGGAUGGUGAAAUAGGUAGACACAGCAGACUUAAAAUCUGCUGCGCCAUACUCGGCGCGUACCGGUUCAAGUCCGGUUCCGGGCACCA